GCUUGUUGAGCUUUAAGCUUUGAUACCAUAAUAAAGCUGAACUAUCUUUUGAAGUUGUAUCGUUCUUAUAAUAUCUUCACAAUCUUGUAUACAGAUACAUAUACAAUCAAUUGAUAAGUUCCACCUCUCCAGUUUUUUUAGCAGGUUGUCCAACAUCCAGCUAGCGUUAUACAUCUACAGGUGUUCCCUGUAGGAAGCCGUUGUCCGGGGAACCAAAGCUCUUUGUCAAGAUGAUUGAGAAUUGCAUUAAAGGAACAGUCAAACGUCAAUCCUCAGCACCUUACCAUGGUAGGAGCCUGAGGGGUACGAGUAAUGUCGGUUAUAAUACGAAUAAAGGCAACACAUACAAAGAUAAUCAUAAGAAUACUGGGCCUAGCACUAGCGUAGCUCGACGUCCAUCUUAUAACUGUCACAAGGUUUACUUCCCGGGGCACAAGUGUACCCGACCCCAAUGUUAUCUCGUGGUGGGAGAUCAGGAAGAAGACAACGAGCCAAAGCCGAAACAAAACAGGAGCAGCUCACUCCUGCAUAAGAACCAGAAGAUUAACAAGUUUCUCUUCAUGCUCUUAAUGGAACGCAAGGCUUUCGUUGAUUCAAAGAAGAAGGUUCAAAACAAAGAGUAUUCAACUCCUUCAUGAUACCAGUCUACUCACAAUUUUCUCUCUCAGUCCUUUGUCAAACAGCUCAACUCAAAUCACAAGACAGCUAGCGAAUGGCACCAACACUCAAUGUGGAGUUAACUUGGAGAACUUAAACUACGACCUUUAACUCCACCUUCUACGUGAUUACGUUGGGAGUUUUGAAGCUGUACCUGGUAUCCAAUGGUUGACUCAAGUAAACCCAGUUAGCAUCAGACUUCAAGAAACAUGAGUGAUCAAUUCAUUGGCAGGGUGACAAGCUGCAAUUGCGACAAGCCAGCUGCACUUCUCCUGACUUUCAAGUAGUCAUAGAUAAGAACUCAUCAAGCCACAAAAGGAACAAGUCUGUUUCCUGGUGCAAUUAGCAGCAGUAGAGGCUCAACAACUCUCUCAUCAUGUUCCCUCUUCUGUUCGGCAGGUGAUCGAUGCGUACAAGAAAGUUUCCAAGCCCCUAAAUCCUGACCUGCUUACUAAGGAAGAUCACCUUUUACCCAUAUAAUGGAGGGAAGCAGGCAUGCACACAUGACCCCUACAAAUUCCCAUAUUUCUGACGCUUGGAAAUUGAGAAAAUUGUCCAAGAAAUGCUCGACAUCAGUAAUCCAGCAUAGCCAAUACCCAUAUGCCUCUCCUGCCCUCGUCAAGAAACGAGACAACACAUGAAUGUCUAGCGUGAAUUGAAUUACAGGCUCCAAACGACAUUAAAGUAAAAAUUAGAUUUCCCACAUUGCUAAAUGAAGAAAUGAUUGACGAAUUACAUAGAAGUUGUGUGUUUAGCAAGCUGGAAGUUCAAAGC
RNAcentral lists this long non-coding RNA (1431 nucleotides) under Daucus carota (carrot). RNAcentral describes it as "long non-coding RNA (DCAR_LNC002168)". Lineage: Eukaryota; Viridiplantae; Streptophyta; Magnoliopsida; Apiales; Apiaceae. The record is from RNAcentral.